Long non-coding RNA from Lineus longissimus, 4376 nucleotides. RefSeq lists it as uncharacterized. NCBI's taxonomy places the organism in Eukaryota, Metazoa, Nemertea, Pilidiophora, Heteronemertea, Lineidae. The transcript is spliced from 5 exons. The record is from RefSeq and is a predicted model, not a curated record.
GAGGCGACGAACAAAUAGCUGUGGUUGGCCAGUGGUGGCUUCUCCAGACACUCAGGAAUGUCCACGUGACUCCCCCUCACCCCUACUAAAGCUACGGAUGCAAGUUGGCAGUCCAGACGUCAUGCUCAGGCCAUCAAUGUUGGGAAAUGCAAGCUUUUGCUCAAACUGGUCCGUGAGAUAUGACUCGAUAUGUGGACGUCAAGGUGAAACUAAUGGAAGGAUUCGUUGCUGAACGACCAACCAAAGUUGUCAUGGACCUACUGGACGACGUCGUCACCCAUCUGUGUCUGUUGAGAGGUUGAAGACUUCGCUCGCUAUGGAUGUGCUGUUUACUUGCUCAACAUAUCUUAUUACCAUUUGCAAUCAGAAAGACAAUGAACGCGUCUUCGAACUCUUACCAAAAGCAAUGGAUAACCUCAAAUGGAUAACUCUCCUCAUUUGCUAACUGGUUUCUUGUUACGUUGGAUGUAAACGCCGUAACUGUCUCACCGUCCUGGAGCCGCCGUUCCGCUCCUCCUCUAAUCGGGUUUCGGGUGAGGUGGUUGAUGUAAACCCACUCUGGGUUGUUCUGUAUAGGACUUGAUUCUGUGGUCAAAAACAACUUUGCAUAUAGUUCUUAACAAUAAACUGACUCGAAUGGAGGAACGGGCAUUGGUGCAUUGGGCCUUGAUUUCGUUUCAAAAUCGAAUGGCAUGAUGGUGGAUAUUCCGAUAUUGCACUGAGAUGCGUUAUGUGACCUCAAGUAUCAGAUCUCAUCCCGGCGUUCUGGUUGUCACUAUGUCCUAGAGGCAUUCUGGUUGUGACUUUGUCCUUUUUGGGAUUGCAUCACAAAGGAAUAGUUGAAAGGAACAGGAAGAUGCAAUGUGGGUGUCCAUUGCACAGCCCAAAGAGCUGACUGAAAAUGCAAAUGAGGUAGAGAAAUAUUUGCAUAGCGGAAUAAGAAUACUGUUGGGGACUUUGAAAGUCGCAGGUCAAGCUUGCAGCUGAUUUAUAUAAAGCUAAGCAUAUCAACGGGAGAAGAGAAGCUUUCAGGUUAUUGGUGGUCAAAUAUGUACAUUGUAUUCAAGAUGUAUAUUUACACGUCAUGUAUAAUUGCAGUCGAAAGAAUAUCAUUCACAUUCUAGAAUCAUCCAAUAUGACCUUUAGCCAUAACAUCACGCCUAGGAUGUCUAUCCAUUUAAACUAGAAAUCCAAUAUUUCCUUUUAUCAUCAUCUUUAUUUGAGUCAGACAGUAACAAAAACGAUAGAACUAGUAACAGCCUUCAGCAAAACCAAGGCAUUUUCAUUCCAUUACGCAGGUAAGCCAGCGAGUGACGAAACUAUUAAGGAGUCUCUAGAUGUAUUGGAUAACGUGUUAAGAGGGAAUUUAUUCAAUUUAAAACAAAGCUGGAUGGGGUAGCUCAUUAAUGUGGAUUGUGUUCAUUAGGGAGAUAAUUUGAGAGGUGAUGUUGAGAGAUAGGCGGUUGCUGCAGCGAGCCCCCGGGCUGGUCGCUGCGACUGACGGCUGAUGAUAAGUCAGGACUGGGGACUCCGAUCCCCCGCCGUCACCAAGUGGAUUAAACGAUCACAGAUAGCAGGAUGACGGCUGUCGCCCGCCAGAAUAGCGUGACGUUUCUGUACCUCCUCGAUACGGAGAGUGUUCAAAUAAAACAGAACAAGUGAAGUACUGAUUUUCAAAGUCGACCAUCGAGGCCGGAGAUACAAUUAUCGGCCCUGUUUCUAUGCAACUCGAAAUAAUCAAGAACUGGAUGCUAAACGAUUUGGAUGUUUCUAUUCAAAUUUUGGAGUUUUGUAUGAAUUGUGAAAUAUCUAAGGAACUGUCAAACAGCGUCAUCAUCUUGGCUUUAUUCAUCAGGCUAAAAGGAAAACUAGUAACCACUUAGACACGAACUUGUCAAACUCUUCCACCAUAAAAAAAUAAUGAAAAGAACUUUUUGAACUAUUCUAAAGUGAUACGCUGCACAACAGCUUAAGGCAAGUUGAGUUUAGAAGUUUGGAAGUUGACAAUGUACCUACGACAGCUAUUCCAAAGGAAAAAAAGAUCAGCUUUCCAUAGAAACAGAGAUAUAAAGAAAUGUCUGACUAUGUUGCUUGAUGAAAUGAAAAAGUAGGACAGUUACUUUUAUGGAAAGUGAUGGUCCCAUAAUGGCAAUCUCUUACACAAAAAGGGCUUUCUGUUUUUGUAGCUUUUCGGAGAUAUUUCUAUCCGAUUCCUUUGGCGAAAGGAGCGUUUUGUUGUGUAAGAAUACCCUUAACAGAAGGGUUAAGAAAAUGCUGCAUUCACUGGUAAUGCCAAUAAUACCAAUACAGGACAUACGAUGAUUCAAACGUUUUGUAACUUUUCAUGAAUUAACUAUCUAUGCAAAUUGUCUAUUAAGACUACCUUCAUAUAGUUUCAUAGUUCAUAGUUUUCUAGACAUUUGACUCGAUUGGUGCAAAUACCGUGAUAAAACCGUUUUGGAUAACUUAACGCUUGGAUACUAGUAAUUCUUAAAUGGAUUUGAAAUUAUAUCAAAAACUACUCUAGCUAUUGGUUUCAAGAGGAUUUGGAUUUUUCUGUCAUUCAUGUGUUUCUUGUCCUGUAAUACUUUGCCGAAUUCCCUAAUCCUGUAUUCAUUCCAAGCUUUACUACGACAAUUCCGUCCCCGCCAAAAAACACCAAAACUUCUUCAAGAAACAGGUCUACAUGUAUACAAACAUAAUGUUUGCGGCGGGGUGUCUGUUAAAAUUUAUGUGUCUAGUACAAAUGACUCCAAGCGCAUUUGCAUUCAUGCCCAGCUUUACUACGACAGAGAACGCUCCUGGCAACACCAAAUACUGUCUAGAAACCAAGCUGGAAACACAACACUAUAGUCCUACAAACAUUGUGUUUUUAGGGGGACGUCUCUUAAAUGUAUCUAUCUCUGGUACAAAUAACUCCGGGAUGGCAAAACGAGUUUGUAAAGUAUGAUUCGCAUUAGACAUAAAUAAGCGGUAAACAGUAAACAACAUGAUCUCGUUGAACAAGCCAACUGACGGUUGCCAGUUUAAUGGGUUGGAAAGUAAACUACGUCAACCUUCUAUUUAGAUCGAGUGUUCCAGGUGACUCUUCAAAAUUUUGAUGCCAUUUUCUUACCUUCGGCUGACGAAUCUUUCCCAACUACCGCAAAUAUAUUAGAAAUAUCGUAUUGAUUACGGAAUCAUGCUUUACCGAUUGACGGAAUUGUACAUCUCAAUAUGAUGUCUGUAUCAAAAUAUCAGUCUCUAGCCAAACCUAAGAUAAUUGCUCGGGCUCGAAACCUUUAAAAUUUGACAUUUCAACUUCACGAAACAUGCAAACCUUUCUCGCGAAGAUCAAAGCCCACCGCGGCCAGCAAUGGGUUAAUCUUGAAGACGUAUACGGAUAAGUCUCAUGGGUAAAGGGAUUACGUUGGCACCUCUUAACUGAGAAAAGGAAACGGGGUGUUCCCGUCCUACUUUGACACUCGACACGGAUACGGCGUCAUCAAAGUCAAGACUUUUACGGUGUAAUUUUCUUUAAAGUGCACCUAGCGAGGGAAAUCCUUUGGAAAUGCUUUGGAAAUGCUUUCCAAGUCGAAUGUCAACCUUUUAAACUUGGGCCGCGUCUUAAGUUACCUCCUAAUUAUAGAUUCGGUGACACUGAGACAUUUUGAUACAGAUUGAGUAUGUGUGCUGUGCAGUUUGAUAUUGAAGAAUUCUAAAUUGAACUCGGUGAAAUGGAGUUCAUGGGUUUCUUCUAUAAGGGAAACAGGUAAAUUUCAAACGAAGUCUUCCCUGCUAAAGUUUUUUUGCGUGACGUUUGCAUGUUAUGUGUCAUGUGUUAUAAACAUGCGUUCAGUCUUAUGAUGGUGCUAUUUUAAAUGUUACAACUUUAUACACUGUGGAAAUUCAAUGUCUGAGAUAGUGUCUCCCCAGGCAAUCACUCAGGUUGUUUACUAGUAUUAAUGUCUGUUACCUUUUGGAGAUAUUUUUUCCACUUAUAUUGUGUGUCGCUUUUGCAAUAUUUCAAGUACUUAAAAAAUAAAUAAAUUUUUGAAAUAUUUAUACUAAACACUGUGUAUUGAUUCACUCUCUGUGCAUGUAUUUUUGCAACGCUUUAGAUGUAAUUUAAAAAGUCUCAGGGACAUUACUACAUAUAAUAUUCUGUUAGUGUUUUUAGGUUCAAAUUAUUUGUUGACAUUGAACUUUGAGUUGAAAUUGUUUCGAUGAGUGCGCAACUGUGACAUGAAAAACAGGUGCUUAUUUACUUGGGGCUUUGCGUGGGACGUUCGGAAUACUGUAAAUAUGACACAGGCAUAGAAAAGGCUACGAAUAACUCAAAUAUUGGCUGUAUAAUGCGUUGAGUCUCGCCGAAUUAUGAGUUAUAAAAUGCAACA